ACUCCUACGGGAGGCAGCAGUGGGGAAUAUUGCACAAUGGGCGCAAGCCUGAUGCAGCCAUGCCGCGUGUAUGAAGAAGGCCUUCGGGUUGUAAAGUACUUUCAGCAGUGAGGAAGGUGGAUAUGUUAAUAGCAUAUUCAUUUGACGUUAGCUGCAGAAGAAGCACCGGCUAACUCCGUGCCAGCAGCCGCGGUAAUACGGAGGGUGCGAGCGUUAAUCGGAAUUACUGGGCGUAAAGCGCAUGCAGGUGGUUUGUUAAGUCAGAUGUGAAAGCCCGGGGCUCAACCUCGGAAUUGCAUUUGAAACUGGCAAACUAGAGUACUGUAGAGGGGGGUAGAAUUUCAGGUGUAGCGGUGAAAUGCGUAGAGAUCUGAAGGAAUACCGGUGGCGAAGGCGGCCCCCUGGACAGAUACUGACACUCAGAUGCGAAAGCGUGGGGAGCAAACAGGAUUAGAUACCCUGAUAGGCUCUGC
RNAcentral lists this ribosomal RNA (473 nucleotides) under uncultured bacterium. RNAcentral describes it as "bacterial SSU rRNA". It matches the Rfam family "Bacterial small subunit ribosomal RNA", at positions 335 to 800 of the family's 1533-position model. The record is from RNAcentral.